GCACUGCUGAAGAGUCCUACAAUAGGACGAAAUGAUCAUUCAGUAC
This 46-nucleotide non-coding RNA is filed under the name Schistosoma mattheei. The record is from RNAcentral. Lineage: Eukaryota; Metazoa; Platyhelminthes; Trematoda; Strigeidida; Schistosomatidae.